GACGAACGCUGGCGGCGUGCUUAACACAUGCAAGUCGAACGGAAAGGCCCUGCUUUUGUGGGGUGCUCGAGUGGCGAACGGGUGAGUAACACGUGAGUAACCUGCCCCUGACUUUGGGAUAACUUCAGGAAACUGGGGCUAAUACCGGAUAGGAGCUCCUGCUGCAUGGUGGGGGUUGGAAAGUUUCGGCGGUUGGGGAUGGACUCGCGGCUUAUCAGCUUGUUGGUGGGGUAGUGGCUUACCAAGGCUUUGACGGGUAGCCGGCCUGAGAGGGUUACCGGCCACAUUGGGACUGAGAUACGGCCCAGACUCCUACGGGAGGCAGCAGUGGGGAAUAUUACACAAUGGGCGGAAGCCUGAUGCAGCAACGCCGCGUGCGGGAUGACGGCCUUCGGGUUGUAAACCGAUUUCGCCUGAGACGAAGCGUGAGUGACGGUAAUGGGUAAAGAAGCACCGGCUAACUACGUG
Molecule: ribosomal RNA, 468 nt
Filed under: uncultured bacterium
Lineage: Bacteria
Description: partial 16S ribosomal RNA
Rfam family: Bacterial small subunit ribosomal RNA
Source: RNAcentral